UCCCUUGAGCCGGAUUUGAACCAGCGACCUAAGGAUCACCGUUGUAACAUCUACAGUCCUCCGCUCUACCAACUGAGCUAACGAGGG
RNAcentral lists this transfer RNA (87 nucleotides) under Cordylochernes scorpioides. RNAcentral's name for it is "tRNA-Tyr". The record is from RNAcentral. Lineage: Eukaryota; Metazoa; Arthropoda; Arachnida; Pseudoscorpiones; Chernetidae.